UGCCAGCAGCCGCGGUAAUACGAAGGUCCCAGGCGUUAUUCGGAAUCACUGGGCGUAAAGGGAGCGUAGCCGGUUAGGAAAGUCAGAUGUGAAAGGCAGGAGCUUACCUCCUGGACUGCAUUUGAAACUCCCUGACUAGAGUGACGGAGGGGUAGAUGGAAUUCUCGGUGUAGCAGUGAAAUGCGUAGAUAUCGAGAGGAAGACCAAUGGCGAAGGCAAUCUACUGGACGUCUACUGACGGUGAGGCUCGAAGGCUAGGGUAGCGAAAGGGAUUAGAUA
RNAcentral lists this ribosomal RNA (279 nucleotides) under uncultured bacterium. RNAcentral's name for it is "partial 16S ribosomal RNA". It matches the Rfam family "Bacterial small subunit ribosomal RNA", at positions 506 to 784 of the family's 1533-position model. The record is from RNAcentral.